GGGUCCGUAGCUCAGCUGGAUAGAGCGUUGGCCUCCGGAGCCAAAGGUCGUGAGUUCGAAUCUCGCCGGAUCCGCCA
Molecule: transfer RNA, 77 nt
Filed under: Alphaproteobacteria bacterium
Lineage: Bacteria; Pseudomonadati; Pseudomonadota; Alphaproteobacteria
Description: tRNA-Arg
Rfam family: tRNA
About the family: Transfer RNA (tRNA) molecules are approximately 80 nucleotides in length. Their secondary structure includes four short double-helical elements and three loops (D, anti-codon, and T loops).
Source: RNAcentral